GGCAGGGCCGAGUACAGUGGUGUUCACAACCCGCGAUCACAACCAGUGACAGAUUGCUUUAUCCUUUCUCCACUCCCACAGCUUCACUUGAUUAGCCCUAA
This 101-nucleotide Y RNA is filed under the name Otolemur garnettii (small-eared galago). It matches the Rfam family "Y RNA". Rfam says of the family: Y RNAs are components of the Ro ribonucleoprotein particle (Ro RNP), in association with Ro60 and La proteins. The Y RNAs and Ro60 and La proteins are well conserved, but the function of the Ro RNP is not known. The record is from Rfam by way of RNAcentral. Lineage: Eukaryota; Metazoa; Chordata; Mammalia; Primates; Galagidae.